GGAAGUAAUCGAAACAAGGUUUCCGUAGGUGAACCUGCGGAAGGAUCAUUAUUGUAUAACCGAGGUGCGAGGGCUGUCGCUGACCCGAAAGGUCGUGCACGCCCGAGUGCCCUCACACACAUCCAUCUCACCCCUAUGUGCACCACCGCGUGGGUCCCCCUUUGGCUUGUUCGGAGGGGGGCUUACGUUUUCACACAAACUUUGUAUGCAGUGUAGAAUGUAUUUUUUGUUUUUGCGAUCACGCAAUCAAUACAACUUUCAACAACGGAUCUCUUGGCUCUC
This 282-nucleotide unclassified non-coding RNA is filed under the name plant metagenome. RNAcentral's name for it is "partial contains small subunit ribosomal RNA, internal transcribed spacer 1, and 5.8S ribosomal RNA". The stretch from base 1 to 51 matches the Rfam family "Eukaryotic small subunit ribosomal RNA", at positions 1781 to 1831 of the family's 1831-position model. The record is from RNAcentral.